GACGAACGCUGGCGGCGUGCUUAACACAUGCAAGUCGAACGAUGACGACCGAGCUUGCUCGGUCUGAUUAAUGGCGAACGGGUGAGUAACACGUGAGCAACCUGCCCUUCACUCUGGGAUAACCUCGGGAAAUCGGGGCUAAUACCGGAUAUGAGCUCCUGUCGCAUGGCGGGUGUUGGAAAGUUUUUCGGUGAAGGAUGGGCUCGCGGCCUAUCAGUUUGUUGGUGAGGUAGUGGCUCACCAAGGCGAUGACGGGUAGCCGGCCUGAGGGGGCGACCGGCCACACUGGGACUGAGACACGGCCCAGACUCCUACGGGAGGCAGCAGUGGGGAAUAUUGCACAAUGGGCGAAAGCCUGAUGCAGCGACGCCGCGUGAGGGAUGACGGCCUUCGGGUUGUAAACCUCUUUCAGCAGGGAAGAAGCGAAAGUGACGGUACCUGCAGAAGAAGCGCCGGCUAACUACGUG
RNAcentral lists this ribosomal RNA (467 nucleotides) under uncultured bacterium. Its description in RNAcentral is "partial 16S ribosomal RNA". It matches the Rfam family "Bacterial small subunit ribosomal RNA", at positions 28 to 507 of the family's 1533-position model. The record is from RNAcentral.